Molecule: ribosomal RNA, 989 nt
Filed under: Buddenbrockia sp. DG-2009
Lineage: Eukaryota; Metazoa; Cnidaria; Myxozoa; Malacovalvulida; Saccosporidae
Description: SSU rRNA
Rfam family: Eukaryotic small subunit ribosomal RNA
Source: RNAcentral
CUUAAUUGUGUGUAAGAUUGAACAUUUGUGGACGUACCUUGAACAAAUCGGUUUGUUCAAAACAGGCCAUAUCGAGCGCCUGGACAUUCGAGCAUGGAAUGAUCGAUCGAGACCUGAUCGUUUGGUCGGAAACGAGUAAGGUCCAGGUCAAAAGGGACAUUUGGGGGCAUACGAACUCGGCAGCGAGAGGUGAAAUUCUAAGACCUGCCGAGGUCGAACUAAAGCGAAAGCAUUUGCCAAGAAUGUUUUCAUUGAUCAAGAACGAAAGUUGGAGGAUCAAAAACGAUCAGAUACCGUUGUAGUUCCAACUUUAAACUAUGCCGACUGUAGGGGCCAGUUCGGUAUAUCCGUACUUAUUGACCUCCCAGGGAAACCAUAGUAGGGUUCUGGGGGGAGUACGGUCGCAAGUCUGAAACUUAAAGGAAUUGACGGAAGGGCACCACCAGGAGUGGAUCCUGCGGCUUAAUUUGACUCAACACGGGGAAACUUACCCGGUCCGGACACCGAUAGGAUUGACAGACUAAUCGCUCUUUCAUGAUACGGUGAUGAGUGGUGCAUGGCCGUUCAUAGUUGGUGGAGCGAUUUGUCUGGUUAAUUCCGUUAACGAACGAGACUAAAACCUUCAUUUCGUUUGCCAAUCAUGUUCUACGCUUUUAUCGGCUGAGAGCUAGACUUGAACAAACUAUUUGAAUGGGAUUAACGCCGUAAUCGAAAGGCGUUUGAAAUUUUUCAAUAACAGGUCUGUGAUGCCCUUAGAUGUCCGGGGCCGCACGCGGGAUACACUGGUGGUUGCAAAGAGUACUUAGGGAGAAAUCCUCGAGUAACCUCACGAACAACCAUCGUGACGGGGACUGAACCUUGCAAUUAUGGUUCACGAACGAGGAAUUUCUAGUAAGCGCUAGUCACCAUCUAGCGCUGAAUAUGUCCCUGCCCUUUGUACACACCGCCCGUCGCUACUACCGAUUGAAUGACUUAGCGAGAACUUGGNG